AACGGUGGAUAACGUCGGUUAAU
RNAcentral lists this small nuclear RNA (23 nucleotides) under Arabidopsis thaliana (thale cress). RNAcentral's name for it is "snRNA_12901". The record is from RNAcentral. Lineage: Eukaryota; Viridiplantae; Streptophyta; Magnoliopsida; Brassicales; Brassicaceae.